Molecule: ribosomal RNA, 514 nt
Filed under: uncultured bacterium
Lineage: Bacteria
Description: partial 16S ribosomal RNA
Rfam family: Bacterial small subunit ribosomal RNA
Source: RNAcentral
GAUGAACGCUGGCGGCGUGCCUAAUACAUGCAAGUCGAGCGAACAGAUGAGAAGCUUGCUUCUCUGAUGUUAGCGGCGGACGGGUGAGUAACACGUGGGUAACCUACCUAUAAGACUGGGAUAACUCCGGGAAACCGGGGCUAAUACCGGUUCAUAUUUUGAACCUCAUGGUCCAAUAGUGAAAGAAGGUUUCGGCUGUAACUUAUAGAUGGACCCGCGCCGAAUUAGCUAGUUGGUAAGGUAACGGCUUACCAAGGCGACGAUACGUAGCGGACCUGGGAGGGUAAUCGGCCACACUGGAACUGAGACACGGUCCAGACUCCUACGGGAGGCAGCAGUAGGGAAUCUUCCGCAAUGGGCGAAAGCCUGACGGAGCAACGCCGCGUGAGUGAUGAAGGUCUUCGGAUCGUAAAACUCUGUUGUUAGGGAAGAACAAAUUUGUUAGUAACUGAACAAGUCUUGACGGUACCUAACCAGAAAGCCACGGCCAACUACGUGCCAGCCGCCGCGGUAA